UACGUAGGGGGCUAGCGUUGUCCGGAAUCAUUGGGCGUAAAGAGCGUGUAGGCGGUCCGGUAAGUCCGCUGUGAAAGUCAAAGGCUCAACCUUUGAAAGCCGAUGGAUACUGUGAGGCUAGAGUCCGGAAGAGGCGAGUGGAAUUCCUGGUGUAGCGGUGGAAUGCGCAGAUAUCAGGAGGAACACCAAUAGCGAAGGCAGCUCGCUGGGACGGUACUGACGCUAAGGCGCGAAAGCGUGGGGAGCGAACAGG
RNAcentral lists this ribosomal RNA (253 nucleotides) under uncultured bacterium. RNAcentral's name for it is "partial 16S ribosomal RNA". It matches the Rfam family "Bacterial small subunit ribosomal RNA", at positions 524 to 776 of the family's 1533-position model. The record is from RNAcentral.